Acanthosepion pharaonis is the source of this 97-nucleotide non-coding RNA. The record is from the annotation of a GenBank genome assembly. Lineage: Eukaryota; Metazoa; Mollusca; Cephalopoda; Sepiida; Sepiidae.
UAUUAAGUUGAAACACCGCUUCUCACACGAUCACCGAACUUAAGCAACAUCGAGCCUUAUCAAUAGUUAGAUGGGUGACCGCUUGGGAAUACCAUGU